GGGUACAUGGUGAUACAUGCCUGUAAUCUCUGCUUCUGGGGAAGCUGAGGUAUGUGGGUCACUUGAGCUCAAGCAUUCUGUGUCACAAUGGGCUUCUGCCCAAUGGGCAUUUGCACUGUCUAGCACCAAUAUGGUGAAUUCCUGGAGUGAAGGGGCUUAGCAGGCUGUCUAAGGAAGGGUGAGCAAGCCCAGAUGGGAAACUGAGCAUGUCAAAGCUUAUGUGCUGAUCAACAGUGGGGUCUGGCCUGUGAAUGGUCACUGCACUAACAGCCUGGGCAAGACAGGAAGACCCAAUCUUAA
RNAcentral lists this signal recognition particle RNA (300 nucleotides) under Vombatus ursinus (common wombat). Its description in RNAcentral is "Metazoan signal recognition particle RNA (ENSVURG00010011567.1)". It matches the Rfam family "Metazoan signal recognition particle RNA". From Rfam's summary of the family: The signal recognition particle (SRP) is a universally conserved ribonucleoprotein. It is involved in the co-translational targeting of proteins to membranes. Lineage: Eukaryota; Metazoa; Chordata; Mammalia; Diprotodontia; Vombatidae. The record is from Rfam by way of RNAcentral.